CAGCCGCCACGGUAAUACGUAGGUGGCAAGCGUUGUCCGGAAUUAUUGGGCGUAAAGGGCUCGCAGGCGGUUUCUUAAGUCUGAUGUGAAAGCCCUCGGCUCAACCGGGGAGGGUCAUUGGAAACUGGGAAACUUGAGUGCAGAAGAGGAGAGUGGAAUUCCACGUGUAGCGGUGAAAUGCGUAGAGAUGUGGAGGAACACCAGUGGCGAAGGCGACUCUCUGGUCUGUAACUGACGCUGAGGAGCGAAAGCGUGGGGAGCGAACAGGAUUAGAUACCCCUGUAGUCCCUGUCUCUUAUAC
RNAcentral lists this ribosomal RNA (301 nucleotides) under uncultured bacterium. RNAcentral's name for it is "partial 16S ribosomal RNA". It matches the Rfam family "Bacterial small subunit ribosomal RNA", at positions 509 to 807 of the family's 1533-position model. The record is from RNAcentral.